GUCUUAGAGCAGCAGCCCUGAUCGAGGGCCAGACACGGGCAAGUUAUUCCAAGGGAAAAGAGGUUAAAACCACAAAAAGGCAGAACAUUUCCUUCUGAGUGGGAGGGAGACCGGCCCACAAGGCCUAUGUGGAUCUAGCUAUGGGCUGAGACAGGCCAUGAACUUGCUAUGUAUGUAGCCCAGGGUGGUCUUGAGAUCCUCCUGCUUCAGCCUCCUGGGUGCUUGGAUUAUAGCAAUCAAAAAAGAAGAGGAUAUUUUCUGGAAUGUUCACUUUGAAUGUCAGACUCCAGAUUUUCAUUUAGAGCUGCCUAUUAC
Long non-coding RNA from Heterocephalus glaber (naked mole-rat), 315 nucleotides. The record is from Ensembl. Lineage: Eukaryota; Metazoa; Chordata; Mammalia; Rodentia; Bathyergidae.